This 21-nucleotide non-coding RNA is filed under the name Caenorhabditis elegans. Lineage: Eukaryota; Metazoa; Nematoda; Chromadorea; Rhabditida; Rhabditidae. The record is from RNAcentral.
UACCGCUGGUCAAAAGUCAUU